UGGGAAUAUUGCACAAUGGGCGAAAGCUUGAUGCAGCAACGCCGCGUGAGCGAUGAAGGCCUUCGGGUCGUAAAGCUCUGUCCUCAAGGAAGAUAAUGACGGUACUUGAGGAGGAAGCCCCGGCUAACUACGUGCCAGCAGCCGCGGUAAUACGUAGGGGGCUAGCGUUAUCCGUAUUUACUGGGCGUAAAGGGUGCGUAGGUGGUUUCUUAAGUCAGGGGUGAAAGGCUACGGCUCAACCGUAGUAAGCUUUUGAAACUGGGAAACUUGAGUGCAGGAGAGGAAAGUGGAAUUCCUAGUGUAGCGGUGAAAUGCGUAGAUAUUAGGAGGAACACCAGUAGCGAAGGCGGCUUUCUGGACUGUAACUGACACUGAGGCACGAAAGCGUGGGGAGCAAACAGGAUUAGAUACCCUGGUAGUCCACGCCGUAAACGAUGAGUAC
RNAcentral lists this ribosomal RNA (442 nucleotides) under uncultured bacterium. RNAcentral describes it as "bacterial SSU rRNA". It matches the Rfam family "Bacterial small subunit ribosomal RNA", at positions 356 to 816 of the family's 1533-position model. The record is from RNAcentral.